RNAcentral lists this ribosomal RNA (253 nucleotides) under uncultured bacterium. RNAcentral describes it as "partial 16S ribosomal RNA". It matches the Rfam family "Bacterial small subunit ribosomal RNA", at positions 524 to 776 of the family's 1533-position model. The record is from RNAcentral.
UACGUAGGGUGCGAGCGUUACUCGGAAUUACUGGGCGUAAAGCGUGCGCAGGCGGCUUCGCAAGUCAGGCGUGAAAUCCCCGGGCUUAACCUGGGAAUGGCGUCUGAAACUACGGAGCUGGAGUGUGGCAGAGGGAGGUAGAAUUCCACGUGUAGCGGUGAAAUGCGUAGAUAUGUGGAGGAAUACCGAUGGCGAAGGCAGCCUCCUGGGCCAACACUGACGCUCAUGCACGAAAGCGUGGGGAGCAAACAGG